CUAAAGUGAAGUGAAUUCUUGUAAGUGUGUUGGACUUGUGCUGCCUGAACAAAGAGGAAUAAUUCUUUGGAAUUAAAUCUCAACAGUUAAAUUGAUGGUUUCCAAGGAUUAGAUGUUCUUCCGGGUUGUUCUGGUAGUACUCUGAAUAUCCUUGAAAAGGAGAACUGCGAAAAGGAGGAGGAUACAGUUCAUACAGAUGAUGAAUAUACCGAUGAAGAGGAUACAGAUAAUCAGGACACAGAUGAGGAGUGUGCCCUGCAGGAAGCUGUAGAUGUGAGGAAUAAUCGCAUAGCUGCUUUGGUGAAUGAUAAGUUUAAUCAUCUGAAAUUGGAACUGAGUACGUUCCUUGAACAGAAACAAAUGAAUUGCACGGCUGUAGACAAGUCAGAGAUGAGUAGCUUGUAUGACUACAUUGGUAUGGGGGUUGUUAAUGACUAUCCAAAGAGGCUAAAAAUGUUUCCGAAGACGGAAGCUGAACUGGAAAAGGCUGUCUUGCAAGAAUUGGAGAGAAUAGGAGAAAAAGCAAUGUCUACGUGAACACAUAUAUAGCUACGAAUUUGACUAAAAGGACGGCUG
Molecule: long non-coding RNA, 576 nt
Organism: Daphnia pulex (common water flea)
Lineage: Eukaryota; Metazoa; Arthropoda; Branchiopoda; Diplostraca; Daphniidae
Exons: 3
Source: RefSeq, a predicted model, not a curated record